RNAcentral lists this transfer RNA (69 nucleotides) under Pilumnus vespertilio. RNAcentral describes it as "tRNA-Gln". The record is from RNAcentral. Lineage: Eukaryota; Metazoa; Arthropoda; Malacostraca; Decapoda; Pilumnidae.
UAUAUGCUGGUGUAAAGAGCACGUAAAGGUUUGAUCUUUAAAGAAGUGGUGUGAUUCCAUUGUGUAUAA